RNAcentral lists this ribosomal RNA (530 nucleotides) under delta proteobacterium BL50. RNAcentral's name for it is "bacterial SSU rRNA". It matches the Rfam family "Bacterial small subunit ribosomal RNA", at positions 8 to 521 of the family's 1533-position model. The record is from RNAcentral. Lineage: Bacteria; Deltaproteobacteria.
AGAGUUUGAUCCUGGCUCAGAUUGAACGCUGGCGGCGUGCUUAACACAUGCAAGUCGAACGCGAACGUUCCUUCGGGGACUAGUAGAGUGGCGCACGGGUGAGUAACGCGUGGAUAAUCUGCCUCUAUGAUGGGGAUAACAGUUGGAAACGACUGCUAAUACCGAAUACGCUCAUAAAUAACUUUAUGAGGAAAGAUGGCCUCUGCCUGCAAGCUGUCGCAUAGAGAUGAGUCCGCGUCCCAUUAGCUGGUUGGCGGGGUAACGGCCCACCAAGGCAACGAUGGGUAGCCGAUCUGAGAGGAUGAUCGGCCACACUGGAACUGAAACACGGUCCAGACUCCUACGGGAGGCAGCAGUGGGGAAUAUUGCGCAAUGGGCGAAAGCCUGACGCAGCGACGCCGCGUGAGGGAUGAAGGUCUUCGGAUCGUAAACCUCUGUCAGAAGGGAAGAACGUACUGUGUGCUAAUCAGCGCAGUAGUGACGGUACCUUCAAAGGAAGCACCGGCUAACUCCGUGCCAGCAGCCGCGGU